UUUUUUUUUCUUCUAAACGACAAUGAAUAGAACACUCACUUGGGACUGGUGCUCAUAAGGAUUCGGAAGACCAUCUUUGUCACGGCCACUUUUUUUGCACGGCCAGCUUGUCAGUCCCCAGCCAGUCCGAUCAAACACAGCAAAUAGAAAAUUUCAGCACACAGACACACACAGACACAGACACACACACACACACACACACACACACACACACACACACACAGAGAGAGAGAGAGAGAGAGAGAGAGAGAGAGAGAGAGAGAGAGAGAGAGAGAGAGAGAGAGAGAGAGAGAGAGAGAGAGAGAGAGAGAGAGAGAGAGAGCGCUCACAAUCUGCCCAAUCGCCCUAAAUUUUUUCUCUUGUUUUGGAUCGUCAUUAAAAAAUUGAAGAGUUGCCACCCUUUUGGCACUUGAUCUAUGCCAUCUAUUUGAAGUUUUUGAAUUUGAACCGUUAGAUUAUAAGCAUAUUCAGAAAUAAUAUUCUAAAAAUGGAAUAAAAGAUGCCAGAUGCCAUAUGCCAA
This 520-nucleotide long non-coding RNA is filed under the name Selaginella moellendorffii. Its description in RNAcentral is "long non-coding RNA (SMOE_LNC002352)". Lineage: Eukaryota; Viridiplantae; Streptophyta; Lycopodiopsida; Selaginellales; Selaginellaceae. The record is from RNAcentral.